GACGAACGCUGGCGGCGUGCUUAACACAUGCAAGUCGAACGGAAAGGCCCUGCUUUUGUGGGGUGCUCGAGUGGCGAACGGGUGAGUAACACGUGAGUAACCUGCCCUUGACUUUGGGAUAACUUCAGGAAACUGGGGUAAUUACGGGAUGGGACCCCUGGCUGCUGGGGGGGGGUGGGAAGGUUUCGGCGGUGGGGGAUGGACUCGCGGCUUAUCAGCUGGUUGGUGGGGUAGUGGCUUACCAAGGCUUUGACGGGUAGCCGGCCUGAGAGGGUGACCGGCCACAUUGGGACUGAGAUACGGCCCAGACUCCUACGGGAGGCAGCAGUGGGGAAUAUUGCACAAUGGGCGGAAGCCUGAUGCAGCAACGCCGCGUGCGGGAUGACGGCCUUCGGGUUGUAAACCGCUUUCGCCUGUGACGAAGCGUGAGUGACGGUAAUGGGUAAAGAAGCACCGGCUAACUACGUG
RNAcentral lists this ribosomal RNA (468 nucleotides) under uncultured bacterium. RNAcentral's name for it is "partial 16S ribosomal RNA". It matches the Rfam family "Bacterial small subunit ribosomal RNA", at positions 28 to 507 of the family's 1533-position model. The record is from RNAcentral.